AGCUUUGCACACCGGCAGUAUCGCAGCCAAUGAGGUUUAUCUGAGGUGCGAUUAUUGCUAAUUGAAAACUUUUCCCAAUACCCUGCCAUGACGACUUGAAAUAUAGUUGGCCUUGGCAAUUUUUGGCAGUCUCUACGGGGA
This is a small nuclear RNA of Callithrix jacchus (white-tufted-ear marmoset), 141 nucleotides long. Its record names the gene U4. It matches the Rfam family "U4 spliceosomal RNA". Rfam says of the family: U4 small nuclear RNA (U4 snRNA) is a component of the major U2-dependent spliceosome. The record is from Ensembl. NCBI's taxonomy places the organism in Eukaryota, Metazoa, Chordata, Mammalia, Primates, Cebidae.